Molecule: ribosomal RNA, 468 nt
Filed under: uncultured bacterium
Lineage: Bacteria
Description: partial 16S ribosomal RNA
Rfam family: Bacterial small subunit ribosomal RNA
Source: RNAcentral
GACGAACGCUGGCGGCGUGCUUAACACAUGCAAGUCGAACGGAAAGGCCCUGCUUUUGUGGGGUGCUCGAGUGGCGAACGGGUGAGUAACACGUGAGUAACCUGCCCUUGACUUUGGGAUAACUUCAGGAAACUGGGGCUAAUACCGGAUAGGAGCUCCUGCUGCAUGGGGGGGGUUGGAAAGUUUCGGCGGUUGGGGAUGGACUCGCGGCUUAUCAGCUUGUUGGUGGGGUGGUGGCUUACCAAGGCUUUGACGGGUAGCCGGCCUGAGAGGGUGACCGGCCACAUUGGGACUGAGAUACGGCCCAGACUCCUACGGGAGGCAGCAGUGGGGAAUAUUGCACAAUGGGCGGAAGCCUGAUGCAGCAACGCCGCGUGCGGGAUGACGGCCUUCGGGUUGUAAACCGCUUUCGCCUGUGACGAAGCGUGAGUGACGGUAAUGGGUAAAGAAGCACCGGCUAACUACGUG